RNAcentral lists this ribosomal RNA (492 nucleotides) under uncultured bacterium. Its description in RNAcentral is "partial 16S ribosomal RNA". It matches the Rfam family "Bacterial small subunit ribosomal RNA", at positions 29 to 507 of the family's 1533-position model. The record is from RNAcentral.
AGUGAACGCUGGCGGUAUGCCUAACACAUGCAAGUCGAACGGCAGCACAGUAAGAGCUUGCUCUUACGGGUGGCGAGUGGCGGACGGGUGAGGAAUACAUCGGAAUCUACUUUUUCGUGGGGGAUAACGUAGGGAAACUUACGCUAAUACCGCAUACGACCUACGGGUGAAAGCAGGGGAUCUUCGGACCUUUCGCGAUUGAAUGAGCCGAUGUCGGAUUUGCUAGUUGGCGGGGUAAAGGCCCACCAAGGCGACGAUCCGUAGCUGGUCUGAGAGGAUGAACAGCCACACUGGAACUGAGACACGGUCCAGACUCCUACGGGAGGCAGCAGUGGGGAAUAUUGGACAAUGGGCGCAAGCCUGAUCCAGCAAUACCGCGUGGGUGAAGAAGGCCUUCGGGUUGUAAAGCCCUUUUGUUGGGAAAGAAAAGCAGCAGGUUAAUACCCCGCUGUUCUGACGGUACCCAAAGAAUAAGCACCGGCUAACUUCGUG